RNAcentral lists this ribosomal RNA (253 nucleotides) under uncultured bacterium. RNAcentral describes it as "partial 16S ribosomal RNA". It matches the Rfam family "Bacterial small subunit ribosomal RNA", at positions 524 to 776 of the family's 1533-position model. The record is from RNAcentral.
UACGUAGGGGGCAAGCGUUAUCCGGAUUUACUAGGUGUAAAGGGGGCGCAGACGGCGAUGCAAGCCAGGAGUGAAAGCCCGGGGCCCAACCCCGGGACUGCUCUUGGAACCGCGUGGCUGGAGUGCAGGAGGGGCAGGCGGAAUUCCUGGUGUAGCGGUGAAAUGCGUAGAUAUCAGGAGGAACACCGGUGGCGAAGGCGGCCUGCUGGACUGCAACUGACGUUGAGGCCCGAAAGCGUGGGGAGCAAACAGG